GCCAGAGUUAUGAUCGGGGAUCUUGACUGAAGCAAUAGUCUUUGUGGAUGGCACUAUUUCAUUUAAAGUGAUGAUAGUAGAUAUAUUUGAUUCUGUAUCAACUUUAACAUCAAAUGUAACAUUCCUGUACUUGUACAAUGCUGCAAUAUCACCAGUUGAUAGUCCCCCUUUCUUCACUGCGGUUGAGGUAAGGACCACUCCAGCAUCGCUGUAAGUUGAGACGGAGAAUUUCUGAUCGGAGAUGUAGUCCCUGGUCAGAAGAUCUUUAGCCUUCUUGCCGAUGUCGGAGAACAGGCCGGGUCCCUUGCUCAUCUUGGGGAUCGGAAUUG
Molecule: unclassified non-coding RNA, 329 nt
Filed under: Hevea brasiliensis (rubber tree)
Lineage: Eukaryota; Viridiplantae; Streptophyta; Magnoliopsida; Malpighiales; Euphorbiaceae
Source: RNAcentral